RNAcentral lists this long non-coding RNA (458 nucleotides) under Serinus canaria (Common canary). RNAcentral describes it as "lncRNA (ENSSCAG00000016198.1)". The record is from RNAcentral. Lineage: Eukaryota; Metazoa; Chordata; Aves; Passeriformes; Fringillidae.
CCAAAAAUGUGUCAUCUCUUCUGGACUUCACCGUGGCCACCUUAUGUAACUGGCAGGAGCUACAGUCCAGCACUGAUCCACCACUGCAUCUCCAUCUACAUGGUGACAUCAUACCUGACACACAGGAUCCCAAAAAUUCCCAGCAUUGCUACAGGCGAGGAGAAGAAGAAGAAGCCCUACAGCCCAGCUCCAUGCUCCUCCCACCACAACUCCCAUGGGCACUUGUCAACAUCCCAGUAAAAAAAGGAGAAUUGAACCCAUGCAACCUGGCCGUGCCCCAGGGACGCGCGGAGUGAGGGCCGGCGGCGGCUGAACAACAACCCCCCUGCUCUGCUCUUACAUCUCCCCCAUGGAAACUUUUCAACUCCAGUCCCUGGCAGGAGCCAGGCUGAUCCCAGCUGAAUUCCUUCCACUUACCAGCAAAUAAAUAGCAGUUAAAUGAAAGGAAAGAGAAAAAC